Molecule: long non-coding RNA, 316 nt
Filed under: Olea europaea (common olive)
Lineage: Eukaryota; Viridiplantae; Streptophyta; Magnoliopsida; Lamiales; Oleaceae
Description: long non-coding RNA (OEUR_LNC002882)
Source: RNAcentral
CUAGGUGGCCCUCUUGUUUACUUGCUCAUUCCGUGACUUGUUUUUGUAGGUAAAUCUUGGCUCAUCACCUAUCUUUCACUUGUGACUUUUUGUCUCCCAUCUUUCUCUAAGAUAAUUUUGUGACCUUCUCUGCUUCCUCAGUAUCAACAUACAUAUCUCCCUUCUUCAGCAAGUUAUGCAUCGACUCUUGGAGAUUCUUGUAGAGUGAUAUCCUAAAGGCUAGUUUUGCGUCUUGUUCAUCAGUGCAGUUACCACCGUCAACAUUUGAAGGUCCUCUAUUCCAAGUGUCACUCAACUAAAGCUGGCUAAGUAUUUC